Non-coding RNA from Centropristis striata (black sea bass), 463 nucleotides. Lineage: Eukaryota; Metazoa; Chordata; Actinopteri; Perciformes; Serranidae. The record is from the annotation of a RefSeq genome assembly.
AUGGACUAUAGGACAGGACUGCUGCUUCUAACUGUCUGCUGGGCAGGUGUUGGUGGUCAGACGCUAACAGAAUCUGAACCAGCAGUUAAAAGUCCUGGAGGAUCUCACAGAUUGACCUGUACAACCUCUGGAAUUAACUUUGCUGGCAACUGGAUGAUCUGGAUCAGACAGGCUCCUGGAAAAGGAGUGGAGUGGCUCGCUUUAAUCAGAGCUGACAGUUCUGAGAUCAACUACUCUCAGUCAGUCAGAGGGCGAUUUACCAUCUCCAGAGACAACAGCAGAGAGCAGCUGUAUCUGCAGAUGAACAGUCUGAAGACUGAAGAUUCUGCUGUUUAUUAUUGUGCUCGAGCGACACAGUGACUGGAGUUGGUUGAGCAGCUGUACAAAAACCUACAGUCCUCACCUUCACUCUGCUGGUAGAGGAAAAAGCAUUAAGUGGUUUUUAAUAUUUAUAUAUCACACU